GACACUAUGUUUCUUGGUGUUGUCCCUUCCCCUGAUGCUGACCUCACUAGCAUGGCAUCACCUCAGAGCCACGACGCUGGCAAUUGUUCUAACCUCAUGGAGGAGACCAAGACUUUCUCAUCAACUGAGAGUCUGCGACAACUUUCUCAACA
This is a long non-coding RNA of Chionomys nivalis (European snow vole), 152 nucleotides long. RefSeq lists it as uncharacterized. The record is from RefSeq and is a predicted model, not a curated record. NCBI's taxonomy places the organism in Eukaryota, Metazoa, Chordata, Mammalia, Rodentia, Cricetidae. The transcript has 3 exons.